UACGUAGGGUGCGAGCGUUAUCCGGAAUUACUGGGUGUAAAGGGUGCGUAGGCGGCUAUUUAAGUCAGAUGUGAAAACUCAGGGCUCAACCUUGAGGCUGCAUCUGAAACUGAGUAGCUAGAGUGUGGGAGAGGAAAGUGGAAUUCCGAGUGUAGCGGUGAAAUGCGUAGAGAUUCGGAGGAACACCAGUAGCGAAGGCGGCUUUCUGGACCAUAACUGACGCUGAGGCACGAAAGCGUGGGGAGCAAACAGG
Molecule: ribosomal RNA, 253 nt
Filed under: uncultured bacterium
Lineage: Bacteria
Also listed under: 1 other name
Description: partial 16S ribosomal RNA
Rfam family: Bacterial small subunit ribosomal RNA
Source: RNAcentral